Molecule: ribosomal RNA, 253 nt
Filed under: uncultured bacterium
Lineage: Bacteria
Description: partial 16S ribosomal RNA
Rfam family: Bacterial small subunit ribosomal RNA
Source: RNAcentral
UACGUAGGGUGCGAGCGUUGCCCGGAUUUAUUGGGCGUAAAGGGCGCGUAGGCGGCUCGGCACGUCCGUUGUGAAAUCGCCCGGCUCAACUGGGCGGGGUCAGCGGAUACGGUCAAGCUUGAGCAAGCUAGGGGGUAAUGGAAUUCCCGGUGUAGUGGUGGAAUGCGUAGAUAUCGGGAGGAACACCAGUGGCGAAGGCGGUUACCUGGGGCUUUGCUGACGCUGAUGCGCGAAAGCGUGGGGAGCGAUCCGG